GUGCUUAACACAUGCAAGUCGAACGGAAAGGCCCUGCUUUUGUGGGGUGCUCGAGUGGCGAACGGGUGAGUAACACGUGAGUAACCUGCCCUUGACUUUGGGAUAACUUCAGGAAACUGGGGCUAAUACCGGAUAGGAGCUCCUGCUGCAUGGUGGGGGUUGGAAAGUUUCGGCGGUUGGGGAUGGACUCGCGGCUUAUCAGCUUGUUGGUGGGGUAGUGGCUUACCAAGGCUUUGACGGGUAGCCGGCCUGAGAGGGUGACCGGCCACAUUGGGACUGAGAUACGGCCCAGACUCCUACGGGAGGCAGCAGUGGGGAAUAUUGCACAAUGGGCGGAAGCCUGAUGCAGCAACGCCGCGUGCGGGAUGACGGCCUUCGGGUUGUAAACCGCUUUCGCCUGUGACGAAGCGUGAGUGACGGUAAUGGGUAAAGAAGCACCGGCUAACUACGU
RNAcentral lists this ribosomal RNA (451 nucleotides) under Cutibacterium acnes. RNAcentral's name for it is "bacterial SSU rRNA". It matches the Rfam family "Bacterial small subunit ribosomal RNA", at positions 44 to 506 of the family's 1533-position model. Lineage: Bacteria; Bacillati; Actinomycetota; Actinomycetes; Propionibacteriales; Propionibacteriaceae. The record is from RNAcentral.